CUUGAAGAGGAGAGAAACUGAGCCAUGCAGAUAUGUGCAAAGGAAGAACCUUCCAGAAUCACCCUCAUGUACCCCUAUGCUCUGUACAUACCCAGCGCUCUGCACUGAGGCAGACCCUAAAGCUGCAGUGGGAAUGGAGGUAGAUACACUUAUGGAAAGAAAGACUUCUUCAAAGAAUGGUGGCGACCCAGGUCGCCCUUCUGCUGUGGCUCUUAGAGGACCUGGAGUUGGAGAGGGGAAGUCACUGGCAUGUGGAGGAAGACCAAAGUGUGUCCCACCUUCACUCCACCUCUCUGCUCUCUCUCUCCUAUAUUGAGUGCCUCCCUCCCAGAGUUGUGGUCACUGAUAAGGAGGACCCUGAGGGCAACCACACCUUGCCAUGCAGAGCACCUGGCUUCUCACCUGCCAACCUCACUCUGACCUGGCUGCAGGAAGGGAAGGAGCCAACUCUGGACUCAAGAUUCAAGGGGACCAGACCCAGAGAGAUGAGACAUACCAGGGCUGGGCAGCUGUGGGGGUCCUUCCAGAGAGGAGCUGAGAUACACCUACCUGGAGGGGCCCCAGGGCCUGGAGGGGCUCCUCAGUGUGACUGGGGAGCUGUCCUUCCUCCAGGCCCAGGGAAGUGAAAAAAGAAGCAGGAACAGUGAAAUACGCCACAGGAAAGAAAAAUCUUAGUGAUCCCUCCUGCUGUCUCUCUCCUUUUGUCUAUUCUGGCAAAUUUUGUAAGUGAAAUUUGUUACCAAGAUAUGAAAAUCUUAUUAUAAGAAAGUCUGUAAAUAUUUGAGAAUAAAAUGAUCAAUGUCUCAGCUCUGCAGACUGAAAAAACAGAAGCUUUACAAAAUAAAAUCAUGUUUGGAAAACUCUCCUCUGAGGGAUAUCAAAGGCUGCACUGAAUAAGCUCUAAGGAGGUGCUGAAAUGACAGCCAUUUAUUUGCCUGUGUAAGCUCAGGCAGGUGUUGGAAUUGAGGAAGGAUAGGUAAUGAAAAAAGUAACCAUGUGCUUGGGGCACAGUGAUGGUGAUGACCACAGAAUCAACACAAUAAGCUGUAGCAUUUGCAUCGUAGUCCAGUUCAUUCAAGCAAAGCUAUCUCCAAUAGGGAAUUUACCCUGUACAGAACAUGUGCAUUUUGAUUUCACCUUUUCUAACUGACCCUUUGCUCAUGACAAUAGUGAAAAAAUACAGCCCUGGGUGGAGAUUUAAGAUGCUAACGAGUCAUGAGAUGUAUGAACAUGCAUGUACAGCUACUGCACAUGUGCACCCAGAAGACCACCCAGAACAUGCUUACUAGUAACCCCUCUUCCCACCCACCUCCUAUGAAUAAUCAUGUAAGACUCCCAUAAAGGGAGUUUAUCCAGCAGUAAUCAAUGCUGUCUCAUCCAUAGGAACAGCCUGUCCUGAAUCCUCUCUCUCAGGGUAUACAGUUUAUUUUGCACUUAACUUUCAAAAUAGUAUUUUUCCUUUGUAAUAAAUUGCUUUGUACUUCUCCUUUGCUGCAUGUUUCUUAUUUAAAUUCUUUUAAAUGAAGAAGUCAAGAACCACAGUAUUACAACAGCCGUCAACAUUUCUGGUGCCAUGACUCAGACAGAGGUUUGUCUGCUUCAUUGGUUUCAAUUCCCCUUCACUCCUGGUGAGUCCUGUGGCAGCCCCAGACCCCUGAUUGACUAUCACUGCUUUCCCCAGAUCUAUUCUAUUAAGGUUUUGGGGGAGGACCUUUUAAAUCACUCACAUUAUUUGAGCAACUGAUUGUGAUUGCUUUCC
Long non-coding RNA from Macaca mulatta (Rhesus monkey), 1759 nucleotides. Lineage: Eukaryota; Metazoa; Chordata; Mammalia; Primates; Cercopithecidae. The record is from Ensembl.